GGGAAGGAUUUUGCGUUAGGAGGACAGUUGAAUGUUGGGUCGUAGAUGAGCACAGACAAUACUGUUAAAAAACGAGAGAGAGAGAGACAUAAGGACAAAGGGAAAGCCGGGACAGCAGUAUGUAUGCGUCCCAGUAUUUUUUAUUUUUCAUUUUUUGUAACAUCUUCGGGGUCCCUGAGGGUAGUGGUAUGCACCAACGUAUACAGAGAAAAGGAUCUGCUCCGCGGCAGCUGCAGCAUCCUUUCUGAUAAUUGAAAUAAGACAUAAAGAAGAAACUGCCACGACUAGCAUGGAGGCUGCAGGGUUACUGCCUGAAGAUUGUGCUGGAUCAUGACAGCAGCAUUAGGUGCAAAGCAGGAACGAGCCAUGGAUGUCACCCCAUUCUAUCACAGCCCUACUAACGCACAUACUUACGGGCAGAAUGUUAAUAUGGAGUCACAAAUUAAUAUAACAUUCAUAAUAUUCAGAUAUGGGUGGACAAUAGGCCUCCAUAAUUCUGUUCUCUUGUGUUUCAGGUCCAAAUUGGUCUCUAAUACUACAAGUCAGGGACUUCAAAGAGUUUACGAUUAUAAAUCAAGCCCCUCUCAGUCUGCUGCUUUUAUAUUAAGUCCAGAUUACUCUAGAAUUGCUAAGUAUUAUAGUUGCAUUACUUUCUGUUUCAGUGUCACAUUUGCUAUUGUCACUACACUUUGGGACCCUUCAGAUCUGGUCUCUUGCAAGGUGGCAUCCACCUGUUGUUGUCUAUAGUCUUAAGUGCCAGGUUCAUGCAGAGCUCUCACAUUGAUUGUCAGACAUCUACAGGCCUCUGCAUUAUACUGUUACAUGUCUGGCCCAAAUGAGGCUUCUCGUUGUGCAUCAGGUUCACAAAGUCUAGUGCUCUUUCUUGUGUUUUAGGCACUUUCAGCUCUGUCCGGUUACUCACCAGUUUCCCAUUGAUGUUUCUCAUGAUAUGCCAAAUCAACAUCAUCCUGUCUUUAUAUGAUAACCCCAUAACCAAGUGAUGUGGUGUUUGUCCAUCCUGGCCUCUGUCAUUACUUACUAGCUACCAAUAAUCCUGCCACAUACCAGGUUCACAGUGGGUUUUCCCAUAUUGUGAAUACUGCACAGAUUCUUGUUUCUUUGCUUCAGGCCCCACAGCCAUUCCCUAUUAUGCUUCAGGUGUCUACAUCCUAUGUUUUUGUGACGAUAAAAAACAAAAGCAAUAAAAGUAACGCACCCAUCCAAUAGGAGCCCCAUUUUGUAAC
This is a long non-coding RNA of Polypterus senegalus (gray bichir), 1244 nucleotides long. RefSeq lists it as uncharacterized. The record is from RefSeq and is a predicted model, not a curated record. The transcript has 3 exons. Lineage: Eukaryota; Metazoa; Chordata; Cladistia; Polypteriformes; Polypteridae.